GCGUGUCCUUGCGAAGAUAAACCGCAGUUUCCUAAACUGUAGGUCGUACGUUCGAAUCGUAUCGGGCGCG
This 70-nucleotide transfer RNA is filed under the name Bacillus sp. 3255. Its description in RNAcentral is "tRNA-Arg". Lineage: Bacteria; Bacillati; Bacillota; Bacilli; Caryophanales; Bacillaceae. The record is from RNAcentral.